CCCUUGCGGGCUGGGAUCCGAUGGUUGAAGGUAGAUCCAAGAACGCAGAGAAUUAAAGACCAGUUAGUUGAACCAGGAGACUGGGUCCUGAUAAAAAGUAUAAAGAAGAAGCAUUGGCACUCACCUAAGUGGGAAGGACCCUACCAAGUGCUGUUAACCACAGGUACCGCAGUAAAGAUUGCAGAACGUAGUACAUGGAUUCAUUUGACCCACUGUAAAAUAAUAAUUGGACAUGUCUAAAAUAACUAUUUCCAUCAUACUGUUCGUAGUCACCAUUCUUAUAUGUUUCAUAGUGAUAACUCUAUGGUAUCUGCUGUAGCGUUGUAGCUCUUCAACGUACCACCAGAGAAAGUCCGGUUACAAAGGGAACUGUAAUUUUAGUUUGCAGUUGUCUCAAACCCGGUGAAGAUUGUCCACCACUCUGUUGUAGGUAAAUAGGAGGAGUUCCAAUCUACAGCAGAAUGAUCACUCAAGCGCAUAAAAAGAUGGUGGCAGUGGGUGGAAUAGUUGGAAUGAUUAUAGUGGUGUCAUUACUGUUGUGGGAGAAGAAUCAUAGUGUGCAGAAGAGAAGGGUGGGCUAUUAUAACACCAAACCGUCGCAAA
Molecule: long non-coding RNA, 603 nt
Organism: Coregonus clupeaformis (lake whitefish)
Lineage: Eukaryota; Metazoa; Chordata; Actinopteri; Salmoniformes; Salmonidae
Exons: 2
Source: RefSeq, a predicted model, not a curated record